GUUUUAAUUUUUAAAGGCUGAUAGGCCCAACAAAUAACAUUCUGUUACAAUUGAAAGGGGUAUAGGUUGAAUCAUAGACCUCGGCUACGAGAAUAGCACAGAGCUUUCCUCCAGUAUCCAAGAUCUACACAAGGUGCACAGGUGGUUGAAUAUGGCGUGGGCGUGCACAUGCUCCUAAAAGCCAGCAACAACCCAACCAAAUGUAUUCAAUAAUGAUCCUUCCGCAGGUUCACCUACGGAAA
RNAcentral lists this unclassified non-coding RNA (242 nucleotides) under uncultured fungus. RNAcentral's name for it is "sequence contains ITS1". Lineage: Eukaryota; Fungi. The record is from RNAcentral.